UGGGGAAUAUUGCACAAUGGGCGCAAGCCUGAUGCAGCCAUGCCGCGUGUAUGAAGAAGGCCUUCGGGUUGUAAAGUACUUUCAGCGGGGAGGAAGGGAGUAAAGUUAAUACCUUUGCUCAUUGACGUUACCCGCAGAAGAAGCACCGGCUAACUCCGAGCCAGCAGCCGCGGUAAUACGGAGGGUGCAAGCGUUAAUCGGAAUUACUGGGCGUAAAGCGCACGCAGGCGGUUUGUUAAGUCAGAUGUGAAAUCCUCGGGCUGAACCUGGGAACUGCAUCUGAUACUGGCAAGCUUGAGUCUCGUAGAGGGGGGUAGAAUUCCAGGUGUAGCGGUGAAAUGCGUAGAGAUCUGGAGGAAUACCGGUGGCGAAGGCGGCCCCCUGGACGAAGACUGACGCUCAGGUGCGAAAGCGUGGGGAGCAAACAGG
Molecule: ribosomal RNA, 429 nt
Filed under: Chloroflexota bacterium
Lineage: Bacteria; Bacillati; Chloroflexota
Description: Chloroflexi bacterium partial 16S ribosomal RNA
Rfam family: Bacterial small subunit ribosomal RNA
Source: RNAcentral